This 587-nucleotide ribosomal RNA is filed under the name uncultured bacterium. RNAcentral's name for it is "partial 16S ribosomal RNA". It matches the Rfam family "Bacterial small subunit ribosomal RNA", at positions 355 to 1375 of the family's 1533-position model. The record is from RNAcentral.
UGGGGAAUUUUGGACAAUGGGCGAAAGCCUGAUCCAGCAAUGCCGCGUGUGUGAAGAAGGCCUUCGGGUUGUAAAGCACUUUUGUCCGGAAAGAAAUCCUUGGCUCUAAUACAGUCGGGGGAUGACGGUACCGGAAGAAUAAGCACCGGCUAACUACGUGCCAGCAGCCGCGGUAAUACGUAGGGUGCAAGCGUUAAUCGGAAUUACUGGGCGUAAAGCGUGCGCAGGCGGUUUGCUAAGACCGAUGUGAAAUCCCCGGGCUCAACCUGGGAACUGCAUUGGUGACUGGCAGGCUAGAGUAUGGCAGAGGGGGGUAGAAUUCCACGUGUAGCAGUGAAAUGCGUAGAGAUGUGGAGGAAUACCGAUGGCGAAGGCAGCCCCCUGGGCCAAUACUGACGCUCAUGCACGAAAGCGUGGGGAGCAAACAGGAUUAGAUACCCUGGUAGUCCACGCCCUAAACGAUGUCAACUAGUUGUUGGGGGAUUCAUUUCCUUAGUAACGUAGCUAACGCGUGAAGUUGACCGCCUGGGGGAGUACGGUCGCAAGAUUAAAACUUAAAUGAAUUGACGGGGUCAUAGCUGUUUCCU